Molecule: long non-coding RNA, 887 nt
Filed under: Nicotiana tabacum (common tobacco)
Lineage: Eukaryota; Viridiplantae; Streptophyta; Magnoliopsida; Solanales; Solanaceae
Description: long non-coding RNA (NTAB_LNC007793)
Source: RNAcentral
GACGCGUUUCUAAAAUUUGAUGAUGAAUUGUGUGGAACAACUGGAUUCCACCUUCUCCUCUCUACUGAUUUUCAACUUCCAUACCCAUUUGUGUCAUUUUUCCUUCUUCAGACCAUUCAUUUCUCUCUCUUUCUUGCUAUGUUCCUUUCCGCUAUUUUUUCUUAUUUCUCUCUAGUCUGGGCUACCUCACAUACAUGAUAUUUGCUUUAUGUUCUCCCUUUCUUCAUUUGUGAUUACAGGUUUGCUACUUCUUAUUCUCUGUGCAUGAAGAUUAUACUUCUGAGAAUCAAUUCAUGUGUAAGGAUCCUUAUGUAUAAAAAGAAAAUGUUUAAUUUCUAGAGCCAGAACAAUUAGCAGCCCAAUCAGGAGAAAGAGUUAAUUUCAAGCCCUUGGGGUGCAUUUAUCUAUUUUUUUUAAACAAAAAUUUUAGUGUCUGUUUUUGUUUCUGUAAUGAUAACAGUCAGUUACUGAUUUUGAUACUUUAUUUGUAUUGAGCAGUUCUUCUUGGGUAAAUACUUCAGCUUUAAUAACGGGAUAUAAAUUUUUAAAAAUACUUCACCUCUAGAUUCAAUUUCUGUGACUGACUUGGCUUUCUUAUAAUUUUGCUUAUGUAUCAACUUGGUGCACACUGAGGCCUGAGGUUUCCAAUAUUUUUUAGUUCUAUCCCUCAAUAUUGAAUCGCGUAACAUUAUCAAUUUUGUGAAGGCAAUUGUCAAAGGAAACUGUAUUGGGAAAAAACUGAGUUUAUAUUAAAGAUAUGUGGCAUGACACGUGGAUUAGUUAAAUGGUCAAAGCGCAGCAAUUGACUAAGAGGCACGGAUGGAGACAGCCACGGGAAGAAGAAUUUAAAUAGGCACGAGACGACUUAUAGAUACGAGUCUCGUAUC